ACUCCUACGGGAGGCAGCAGUGGGGAAUAUUGCACAAUGGGGGAAGCCCUGAUGCAGCCAUGCCGCGUGUGUGAAGAAGGCCUUCGGGUUGUAAAGCACUUUCAGUAGGGAGGAAGGUAGUGUAGUUAACACCUGCACUAUUUGACGUUACCUACAGAAGAAGCACCGGCUAACUCCGUGCCAGCAGCCGCGGUAAUACGGAGGGUGCGAGCGUUAAUCGGAAUUACUGGGCGUAAAGCGCAUGCAGGCGGCCUGUUAAGUCAGAUGUGAAAGCCCGGGGCUUAACCUCGGAAUUGCAUUUGAAACUGGCAGGCUAGAGUCUUGUAGAGGGGGGUAGAAUUUCAGGUGUAGCGGUGAAAUGCGUAGAGAUCUGAAGGAAUACCAGUGGCGAAGGCGGCCCCCUGGACAAAGACUGACGCUCAGAUGCGAAAGCGUGGGGAGCAAACAGGAUUAGAUACCCUGGUAGGAUAGCG
RNAcentral lists this ribosomal RNA (473 nucleotides) under uncultured bacterium. Its description in RNAcentral is "bacterial SSU rRNA". It matches the Rfam family "Bacterial small subunit ribosomal RNA", at positions 335 to 799 of the family's 1533-position model. The record is from RNAcentral.